RNAcentral lists this signal recognition particle RNA (99 nucleotides) under Spirochaetales bacterium. RNAcentral describes it as "signal recognition particle sRNA small type". It matches the Rfam family "Bacterial small signal recognition particle RNA". From Rfam's summary of the family: The signal recognition particle (SRP) is a universally conserved ribonucleoprotein involved in the co-translational targeting of proteins to membranes. Archaeal SRP consists of a 7S RNA and homologues of the eukaryotic SRP19 and SRP54 proteins. In most bacteria, the SRP consists of a 4.5S RNA and the Ffh protein (a homologue of the eukaryotic SRP54 protein). Lineage: Bacteria; Pseudomonadati; Spirochaetota; Spirochaetia; Spirochaetales. The record is from RNAcentral.
GACCGGGUUCCGCGCUAUCGGUUUUCGCCCAACUCCGCCAGGACCGGAAGGUAGCAGCGGUAAGUGAAUAAUCGGGGAGCCGCGGUCGACUUGGUCGGC